CGCGCGGGAUCUUGGUGAUUGAAGCUUCGGCUGAUUGAUCCAAGUGAGAGCGGCGAAAGGGAGAGUAACGCGUAGAUACGUACCCCGAGACCCGGGAUAGCGUCGGGAAACUGGCGGUAAUACCGGAUAAUGUCUCCGGACCAAAGGUGUGAUUCCGUCUUGGGAGCGGUCUGCGUCCUAUUAGGUUGUUGGUGGGGUAAUGGCCUACCAAGCCGAAGAUGGGUAGCGGGUGUGAGAGCAUGGCCCGUCUCACUGGGACUGAGACACUGCCCAGACACCUACGGGUGGCUGCAGUCGAGAAUCUUCCGCAAUGGACGAAAGUCUGACGGAGCGACGCCGCGUGCGGGAUGAAGGCCUUCGGGUUGUAAACCGCUGUCAGUUGGGAGGAAAUGCAUGGUGGCUAUCCAUCAUGUUUGACCGAUCUUCAGAGGAAGUCCGGGCUAAGUUCGUGCCAGCAGCCGCGGUAACACGAACCGGACGAACGUUAUUCGGAAUUACUGGGCUUAAAGAGUCCGUAGGCGGCUUGGUAGGUGAGGUGUGAAAUCCCACGGCUCAACCGU
This 560-nucleotide ribosomal RNA is filed under the name uncultured bacterium. RNAcentral's name for it is "bacterial SSU rRNA". It matches the Rfam family "Bacterial small subunit ribosomal RNA", at positions 63 to 616 of the family's 1533-position model. The record is from RNAcentral.